GUGCCUACGGGAGGCAGCCGUGCGGCCUCUUGUUCCCUUUUCUCGCUCCUGAACCAGCCAAGUAGCGUGAAGGAUGACUGCCCUACGGGUUGUAAACUUCUUUUAUAAAGGAAUAAAGUGAGGCACGUGUGCCUUUUUGUAUGUAAUUUAUGAAUAAGGAUCGGCUAACUCCGUGCCAGCAGCCGCGGUAAUACGGAGGAUCCGAGCGUUAUCCGGAUUUAUUGGGUUUAAAGGGAGCGUAGAUGGGUUGUUAAGUCAGUUGUGAAAGUUUGCGGCUCAACCGUAAAAGUGCAAUUGAUACUGGG
RNAcentral lists this ribosomal RNA (305 nucleotides) under uncultured bacterium. RNAcentral's name for it is "bacterial SSU rRNA". It matches the Rfam family "Bacterial small subunit ribosomal RNA", at positions 335 to 637 of the family's 1533-position model. The record is from RNAcentral.